This is a non-coding RNA of Paramuricea clavata, 82 nucleotides long. The record is from the annotation of a GenBank genome assembly. NCBI's taxonomy places the organism in Eukaryota, Metazoa, Cnidaria, Anthozoa, Malacalcyonacea, Plexauridae.
AUCAUGAAAUUUUCUGUAUUGGUGUUGUGUAUACUCAGGUGAAUAUGAUUGUACACAACACCAACACAGAAAAUUUCAUGAU